Molecule: ribosomal RNA, 307 nt
Filed under: Staphylococcus aureus
Lineage: Bacteria; Bacillati; Bacillota; Bacilli; Caryophanales; Staphylococcaceae
Description: bacterial LSU rRNA
Rfam family: Bacterial large subunit ribosomal RNA
Source: RNAcentral
CUAGCUUACGUGGAGGCGCUGGUGGGAUACUACCCUAGCUGUGUUGGCUUUCUAACCCGCACCACUUAUCGUGGUGGGAGACAGUGUCAGGCGGGCAGUUUGACUGGGGCGGUCGCCUCCUAAAAGGUAACGGAGGCGCUCAAAGGUUCCCUCAGAAUGGUUGGAAAUCAUUCAUAGAGUGUAAAGGCAUAAGGGAGCUUGACUGCGAGACCUACAAGUCGAGCAGGGUCGAAAGACGGACUUAGUGAUCCGGUGGUUCCGCAUGGAAGGGCCAUCGCUCAACGGAUAAAAGCUACCCCGGGGAUAA